AAAGUCGUAACAAGGUUUCCGUAGGUGAACCUGCGGAAGGAUCAUUACAAAAAUCCAGAUUAUCCAUUUGUGAACUAGCCUAACUGUGGUUAGGCGGCUGCUUGGCGAGUCGUUUGACUUGCCGGCAACAAAUAAACUAAAUGUAGUCAAUGUGUGAAACUAAAAAGCAAAACAACUUUUAACAGUGGAUCUCUUGGCUCUU
This 202-nucleotide unclassified non-coding RNA is filed under the name Basidiomycota sp. Its description in RNAcentral is "partial contains small subunit ribosomal RNA, internal transcribed spacer 1, and 5.8S ribosomal RNA". The stretch from base 1 to 47 matches the Rfam family "Eukaryotic small subunit ribosomal RNA", at positions 1785 to 1831 of the family's 1831-position model. Lineage: Eukaryota; Fungi; Basidiomycota. The record is from RNAcentral.